Molecule: ribosomal RNA, 253 nt
Filed under: uncultured Roseomonas sp.
Lineage: Bacteria; Pseudomonadati; Pseudomonadota; Alphaproteobacteria; Acetobacterales; Roseomonadaceae
Description: partial 16S ribosomal RNA
Rfam family: Bacterial small subunit ribosomal RNA
Source: RNAcentral
CACGUACUGUGCGAACGUUAUUCGGAAUUACUGGGCGUAAAGGGCGCGUAGGCGGCUUGGCCAGUCAGGCGUGAAAUUCCUGGGCUUAACCUGGGGACUGCGCUUGAUACUGCCAGGCUUGAGGCCGAGAGAGGGUGGUGGAAUUCCCAGUGUAGAGGUGAAAUUCGUAGAUAUUGGGAAGAACACCGGUGGCGAAGGCGACCACCUGGCUCGGUACUGACGCUGAGGCGCGACAGCGUGGGGAGCAAACAGG